This 348-nucleotide long non-coding RNA is filed under the name Anser brachyrhynchus (Pink-footed goose). RNAcentral describes it as "lncRNA (ENSABRG00000017048.1)". The record is from RNAcentral. Lineage: Eukaryota; Metazoa; Chordata; Aves; Anseriformes; Anatidae.
CAGAAAUCUGUUUCAUACUACAUGGAUCCAGAGGUUUUAGCUGUUUUCUACACAGUAAGACUUACAGGAUGACCAGAAACAAUGCAGGAAACUGACUGUCAUCUACAAAUACUUACUGAGCAUUCCAGUUCCUUUUGCCAGGCAUGAAUGGCUAGAGUAACACCUGUAACAAAAUAUAGUGGCUUGCUGUACCUUCAGUAAAUGCCAGGAGAGUGUCUGUGUCUCAGCCACACCAGCACCACCACAUCCAUGCCCUCAGGCAAUGCCAGAGGAGAGUGAUCCGGGCUAUGAUGUGUGCUGCAAGAGCAGAACUCUGCAAGGAACUGCAUGGAGCUGCAUAGCUUUCCA